AGUGAACGCUGGCGGUAGGCCUAACACAUGCAAGUCGAACGGCAGCACAGUAAGAGCUUGCUCUUACGGGUGGCGAGUGGCGGACGGGUGAGGAAUACAUCGGAAUCUACUUUUUCGUGGGGGAUAACGUAGGGAAACUUACGCUAAUACCGCAUACGACCUACGGGUGAAAGCAGGGGAUCUUCGGACCUUGCGCGAUUGAAUGAGCCGAUGUCGGAUUGGCUAGUUGGCGGGGUAAAGGCCCACCAAGGCGACGAUCCGUAGCUGGUCUGAGAGGAUGGUAGGCCACCCUGGAGCUUGGCCACGGUCCAGACUCCUACGGGAGGCAGCAGUGGGGAAUAUUAGGCAAUGGGCGCAAGCCUGAUCCAGCCAUACCGCGUGGGUGAAGAAGGCCUUCGGGUUGUAAAGCCCUUUUGUUGGGAAAGAAAAGCAGCAGGUUAAUACCCCGCUGUUCUGACGGUACCCAAAGAAUAAGCACCGGCUAACUUCGUG
Molecule: ribosomal RNA, 492 nt
Filed under: uncultured bacterium
Lineage: Bacteria
Description: partial 16S ribosomal RNA
Rfam family: Bacterial small subunit ribosomal RNA
Source: RNAcentral